CUGCUCAAUGAAAUUAAUUAAAUAGCCGCAGUAAAUUAACUGUGCUAAGGUAGCAUAAUAAUUAGUUUUUUAAUUAAAAACUAGAAUGAAAGAGAAAAUGAAAAAUUAACUUUUUAAUUAUAAUAAAUAAAUAUAAAUUAAUUUAUAAGUUAAAAAUCUUAUAUAAAAUAAAAAGACAAGAAGACCCUUUAGAAUUUUAUAAAUAAAAAAAUUUAAUAAUUAUAAAUUUGAAUAUUUAUUAAGUUGGGGAGACUAUGAAAUAUUAAAAACUUUCACUUUUUUAAAACAAAAAUAAAUGAAUCUAUAAAUAUCCAGUUAACAGCCGAAUAAAAAACAAAUUACCUAAGGGAUAACAGCGUAAAAUUUCUAAAAAGAUCAAAUUUACAGAAUAAAUUACGACCUCGAUGUUGGAUUAAGAAAAAAUUAUAAAGAAGAAUUUAUAAAAAUUAGGUCUGUUCGACCUUUAAUCUCUU
This 473-nucleotide ribosomal RNA is filed under the name Aleyrodes proletella. RNAcentral describes it as "partial large subunit ribosomal RNA". Lineage: Eukaryota; Metazoa; Arthropoda; Insecta; Hemiptera; Aleyrodidae. The record is from RNAcentral.